RNAcentral lists this long non-coding RNA (8271 nucleotides) under Panax ginseng (ginseng). RNAcentral describes it as "long non-coding RNA (PGIN_LNC012865)". The record is from RNAcentral. Lineage: Eukaryota; Viridiplantae; Streptophyta; Magnoliopsida; Apiales; Araliaceae.
AAAAAACAAGUGUAAGAAUUGUUGACUCGAACAAACCAUCGAAGGGGAGGUUAUGUUUUGUAUGGGAUGAGUGUGAGUUUUGGGCAUGGUGCUUGCCUUCUACAACAAGCUCAAGUGGAAUAGUCAGUGGCCCCAAUGAAGACAAUGACAGAAUGAGGACAUUGGUGAGUGGAACAAAAUGCAACUGUUCGUGUGAGCAAAAAGACAUACCAAGUAGGAUGAUAGUUGUUGAAAGUAAUAUUAAGAUGAUAAUUGUUGUUGGAAUUGUGUUGUAUUUCGGAAUAGUCAUGAUGUAUUUUAUUAGUAACAAAUGAAUGUACAAACUAAAUGAAUGUAUUUUAGGAGACCAAUGGUAGCAAGUUUUUGUCUGCGUUAGACUUUAUGUUAUGGAUUACUGGAAUUAGUUCUUUAUCUAUAAAAAGGAUGGAUUGCAAAUUUUGUUGUAUAUAUCUUCUUUGAACAUAACUUGUUGGAUUUAUGUUAGAUUUCAUUCAACAUUAAAUGUAGCACAUACUCAACUGGACAGAUACAACAUUAUACCAACUAUAAAACAUUGUCCAUUCCAAAAUGUAAAACAUACUCAACUGUAAAAUAUUGCAAGCUGAUUAAUUAUAAGACAUACUUUUCUAAUUAUAUUGCAACUGUUAAACAUCUGUACAUGCUUUGCCCAUUCCAAAAUUACAGUAACUACUAUUAAUUAUACCAACUAUAAAACAUUGUCCAAAAACUAUAGUAGACAAAGUCUACACAAUCAACAUAGUCAAAAACAGUUACAAGACAUCAUUCAUGAUCCAAAAACUACCCAUUCAAUAUACUAAAGCCUUAAUCCCCCCAGUCCUCCCUUCUUUGGUGAUUUGCCUAUCUUGCUCUUUAUGGCUCCCUUCUUUAUGUUCUUCCUCGUAGGCUGUGAGCUUGAAGCAGGCUGAUUACUCCACAUAGUAGACAAACUUGGUGUGGGAUUAGGUUGAGAGCUUGAAGUUGUUGUAGCAUUAGCAGUAGCAGUCCCUUGACUUGACUGUGUUCUAGUCUGCAUCUUUGGUGGCCUGGGAUUUGGCUGAAAAGGUAAUCAUUCCAGUUAUCACACACAACCAUAUUGCAGUUAUCCAAAUGCAUUCCAAUUAAACCCAAUAAUCUAUUAUAUUGUACCUUAACAGGAAUCUGCUGCACAUUAGUUGGAGUCCCUCCAGUGGACUGAUGUGGUCUGGUAGGAAUGUCUGACUGUGCAGUCCAUUCAGUUGACUGUGCAGUUGACUGAUGUUGUUUGUUAGUUGUCUGAAAAUGAAAACAUGUUAAACUAUUAUAAACCAUGUGUUAAAAAAUACAAUUGAUAGUAUGAAAUGAAAACAUAAAUGCUUAUACCUUGUUCAUUCUUGAUUUAGGAUGAAAAGGCAAUGUACAUGCCCUGCUGUUAUGCCCUAGUGUUAAACACCUUGCACAUGUGACAGUGCCACCUUUUUUUGUUGCUUUAUGUUGGUUUUUUGGUUUAUCUGGAACCUUUCUUCUGAGUUUCCUUGGUCUGCCAGUGGGCUUAUGAUAGGUUAGAGGUUGAAUCUUUGCAAAAUUGGAGUGAACCCAUUCAUGGUGACUUGGCACAGGCACCUCCUCACUCUCUGCAUUAACUAAGAAAUCAAUCAUAUCAAUAACAUCUUUGUCAUUUUGCAUCACUAAUGCCCCACCCUCCCAAAUUUCAUAUCCCGGUACAAGGUAAUAAAUAUUCAAAUUUGAAACUGGGCAUAAAGUAGAGUAGUAUUCAUGUAUACUAAGCAAAGAAAGAUAAUCCAACCCAACAUUCUCUACUAUUUGUUCACUACCCCCAACAUAUUUAUGUACCGGAUCUUGAACAAACUUCCCACCAUAAUAAAAAAUAAUUGCCAACAAAACUUUCUCCGAUCUCUCACAGAGGAUCUAAGUUCAGUGAUUCAGAGCCUGGAUCAUCAUCACCUCUGCAGAGGUCCAAGAUAAGUACUGCUUCACUUGGAUCCACUGAUUCUAAGAAAACUUCUAAGAUCACCAAAUCAAGUGAUGACAGCCAUUUGACAGGGAAUAGGUUAACUAGAUCAUUUUCAUCAUUGUCAGAGACAAAGAAGGAAUCUAGUGGUGUUACUCCUGAUUCAAAGGCUUCCAUGGCACGGAUUAGAAGAUUGUCAGAGCCCAAAACAAUCAGCAGUCAUCCUGCUUCUUCGGUGAAGAUACGUAGUGCGGAAUCAGUGUCAAAACUGAAGGUAUCUGAUGGGUCCGAGGGAAAGAAAAUGUCUGCUAUUAUGAACCUUGAUCUCAGUACAGCUGCAAUCCUUCCCGAGUUGAAGAUCAAAACAUCUAAAGGAACUAUAAAUGUAAAGAAGAAGAAAUUAGCAGCAAAGGAGAUGACACCAAAUGUCAACGGGGGAAAGUCUUCUGUAACUCCUAAAAGUUCUGAAAUGAAUACCACUGAUGGCAGAAUAUCACAUAACGAUUUCGAUGACAGUCCAGUAAUUGAAAAGACUGUUGUAAUGCUUGAAUGUCAGAAGAACUAUAUUCCAGUUGUACAAGCUUCAGAAGAAAAGAUGGGAAUAAGAAAGAAACAUGAUGAUACUAAUGACGUUGAUGAUAAACUUGUGGCAGUACCCAAAUAUGCAGCCAUCCAUGCACCGCCUUCACCCAUUGAUAGAGUUGAUAAAGGACCCACUCCAGUCCAACCACAGGAGAAAUCCAGUUCUUAUGAGGUAGGAUUGUUAAUCUGAAGUUUCUGAAUUGAUCAGAAUUAUCUAUCAUGAUUUAAAUAUUCUAAAGAUGGAAUUGUACCUUAGUAUCAUCGACACAGUCAUAUGAUUUCAAAAUGAACAGUGGAAAUAUCAUAAUAUUAAGAAUAGACGAAAUGCUAUCUUAAGUGAUGCAGUUUGCAUGCCAAAACAAAUGAUGCCAAACAAGUGUACUGAAUGCUUUUACAGUUGAACAUUUCUUGCCAAGCCAAUUUUAUUUUGGCGUUACCCCUAAUCAAAUCAGAUGCUGCAGUUCCAGUUAAGUGUGGCAUAAGUCCUUCUAGAAAUGCCACGUUUGUUACAAAACUUACAAAUAAAAUAAAAUAAAUUAACUUCAGUAUAGUGUGUAAUAUAGUGUCUAUUCAGUGGUAAUCAAUCCUAGCAACUGUUGUUUGUGGUAAGAUUCUAUUUUGGUCAGUUAAGUGGAUGAAUGCUUCAAUAUAAAAGCUAGGUUAGUGUGGCAGCUGCUACUUGGAUCAUGCCAACUCAGUUGAAGUGUUGAACUAUUUCCCACUUUGCCUAAACACUGGCUGGAAAUUUUAGGGAAAUAGAACCUUAUUGAUAAUCAAAGAUAUGUAUAUUGUUUGUAUAUAUAACUGCUUUGGUGGCACUCAGAAACUUGGUCUUAAAUUUUGGGUCUUCCGCACUUGCUCCCACUCCCAUCCUGCUUUAUGCUUGUGGUCUUGCUCUCAUUCAUAAUCUGAGGUCCUCAAUAAGUUCAAUUAUUUGCUGAUAUGAUUUCUUUAACAUGUAAUACCCUGGUGAUCAGGUGAUGGCAAACUGUGUGGAGAAGGAAUCUGCUGACUUUUCAAGCAUUAGUACUUUUGAUAAAACUUAUCAAGCCCCCUUUGCUCGGGUCUCCUCAUUAGAGGACCCAUGCACUAGAAAUUCAGAUUAUGGAAAAGCGCAAGCAAGUUCAUUGGGAUCAGCGAGCUUCGAAACUGCUAAAACACAUGUUUCUGGUUAUGAUAACCUGAAAUUGGAGCAGAUUCCUGAAGCCUUUGAGAAGCCUCAGGUGAAGGAAACAUCAAAGGGGUUAAGCCGGUUCUUAAAAUUGGGAAGGAAAAAUCAUAGCUCAACUGCUGGAGAGCAAACUGUUGAAUCAGAUCGUGCAAAUGUUAAUGGAUUUGAGCAGGAUGAUAGUGCAACUAAUGCUGCCUCUUCCAUUGAAGGUAAUAUGCAUUUUACUAGAUUUUAGUAUUUUACAGGAAUUAUGAAUUUUUGAGAUACACAAUUUAAUGCAAGAAUUGAAGCAACCAUAUGAUUAUUUAAAAAAAAAUUGAAGACAAUGAUCUAUGAGUUUUUCGUGCCACCUAAAAACAGAGGACAACUAUAUUGGCAUAUUGGGGAUGGAGGGAUUAGUAUACAAGCUUUUAAAGUUGAGUUUUUCUCUUCUUUUAGAAAUUAAAACUCAUUCUAGGAACACUAUAUGUGAGCUAGGUUUUAAAGAAGUGGAAUUUAGUACAUGUGUUGAAUUAACUACAUAUCAAAACUAAAUAAAAACAUGAUUGAAAUAAUAAAAACUAAAAGAAACUGGUAGAUAAUAAUGCUUGAAAAGCUGAUAUCUGGUUUAAUUGAUAGUUUUUGGUGGUAUUACAAGUCAUUUCAGUCAAAACUAGUAGAGCUGACAUUUGUAUUCCCGUCUCAUCCUUAGUGUAUACUCUGAAGAAUCUAAUCUCCCAAGAUGAAACACCAACUGCUGGCGAUGUUUUACAGAAUGUAAGUUCUCACUACACUAUCGAAAUAUUUCUGACUUAAUUCUUCCUUCAAACAGAUGGGGAUAUAGCAUAAAUUGUUUUCUUUGUUUGGCUGCAGCUUCAAGUCACUUCUCUUUGUUGUCACACUUCCGUAGCAAGACAAGUGAGAAGAAGCUAAUAACAUGAAGAUUUAGUUAGGUCAGGCUGUGGUACUUUUUAAUCUUUUAUCCCUGUGGGGUUUUCAUUGCGAUAAUUGUCAAUUUAGUCUUUUGCCUAUCAUCCAUUGUGCAAGUAUAGUUUCCCAUGCCAGCUAAAUAUUGUUAUGGGAAUAGAUUAUUGUCCAUUCAAAUCCAUGUCUAUACUAGGAUGAUGAAUUGGCAUAUGUAUAUAUCUUUGACUCAACGGUUUCUUGUUUCUAUGUCUAGUGAAGCAAAGUGUUUCUCAUCAUUCAUUGGAUUUAAUAAACUUGGGUAUAGCAUUUGCUUUGUCUAUUGGGAUUUUAAAUCUCAACUCCUUGUAUUCUUCUUUAGCCAGCCACUUCAAAGUCGUAUCUUGUAACUGAAGAAUGUAAGGAUGAAUCCAUUCCAACCUUGAUGACUGUCUGACUGAUAUGGCUUUGUCAGCAGUAUACUCACUGUUGACUCCAUCAACCUGAGAAGAUGAUAGUGUCUGAGACUGACCAGACUGAAAUGUCAUAAUAAUAGGAAUUGUCCAUGAUAGUGUGUUCAUGCUUAAAGGAGGAAUAACUAAUUUAGAAUUAAUAUGAAGCUUGACAUAAUCUUAUUUGACAAGGAGGAUAAAUAGUUUGCCUCACCCACUCACCCUUAUAAGAUGCAAUGUGGAGCAAUUCUAUCAGUUUCACAUUGUAUUGGCACUAUUCAAUGUAGACGACAUUACAUUAGCUCUUUCUUUUAUCCAACAAAGUUGCAUAAUGUCAUUUCCUUUUCUUUUUUUUGGUCCGUCACUUCUAUCAUAAGUCGGAUAAACAUUAGAUCACUCAAAUCGAAUGAUUAAGCAGGAAAUCUUGCUUCUGCUCAUUCUCACUAAAGCCUCCUUUGCUAAACACUCGGCUGCUUCUUGUGGGUCAUCCAGGUGCCUGAUAAGAUUUACAGCCUCUUGAUGCUUCAUCACCUACAGAAAACACAGGUAAUGGAGCUUUAGAGUGCUUAGAUCCUGCUGCAUUGCCUGAUAUGCGUACUUUAGGCAUACGUAUAGCACCUAAAACAUAGGUGAGACAAGUUUUAGAGUACAGAGAAUUUCGUAGUUUGAAACUGAACCUCCAGAUGGAGGUAUAUUUACAUUGCUUGCAGCUUCGGAUAAUACAUACCUGGGAAGAAUUUGUGUGACCAGUGUCGCUUGGUUGACUGCUGAUGCUUUCCACUAAUUUGGCGAGCCUCGCCAUCUCUGCACACAAUCGCUCUAUACUCACCCAUGUUAGCUAUCACAAGCUUCUCUCCAUUGAUGACAAUGGCAGAUGCUGAACCCACUUUCCACCUCUCUUCUGGCUUAGUUGUUUCUUUGAUCUUUUCUCUUGCUCCAAGGUAUGCCUUUUUCAUUGUCUCUUUGCUCUUCCUCCUCAUCUGGGACUGCAAGAAAUGGGGAAAACUUAAUUAGUUAACAUUAGUUAACUAAUUUUAUUGAUUUUUAUUUAUUUUACACUAUAUUUUAUCAUUGUUCCUACUAUUAAUUUUACCUGUUUAGGCUUUUUAUCGAAUAGAUUUGAUUGCAUGUACUUGGUAACUCCAUCUCUAAUUUGAGCAUCAAAAAUGCCAAAGAACCACAAUUCAUGUUCUUCAGUUUGUUCUCUUUGUACCACAACCGACUCUGAAUCCGAGUCAAACUCAUUUGAUUCACCUGUCAAUAAUCUAUCCUCUACCACAUGAAAUCCAUGGGAGAUGGGCAUCAUCCAUGAAGGUUUCUUUCCCUUGCCACUCUCUCUCUUACUACUUCCAGUGAUAAACCUUCUUAGCUGGAAUACCUGAAUUGAGUGAUCAAACACCAAAUUUUAAUAUUAUAUAUAUAUACUGUCCGGAUCUUAAGCUUAUCUCAUAUCUAACAUACUUUGCAUAUCCCCUUUUAGCGACAGCGGACCGGGUGACGAUUCGGUCCGUCGCUAUAUAUAGUCUUUUAGCUUUUAGCGACGGACAGAACAUAUAGCUACGGAUCGCCCGGUCUGUCACUAAAGGGGGUAUGCAAAGUACGUUAGAUAAGGGGUAACUUAAGAUCCGGACCGAUUAUAUAUAUAUAUAUAUAUAUAUAUAUAUAUAUAUAUAUAUAUAUAUAUACGGUCUGUCUCUAAAGCGAACCUUAAAGAACGAAACAAAGACGAACCGUCGUCUUUGGUGUCUAUGGCGAUGGUUCGAUCCGUCGCCAUAGCCAUGUAGUCUUUGGCGUCGGGUCGAACCGUCGCCAAAGACACCAAAGACGACGGUUCGUCUUUGGUUCGCUUUUUAAGGUUCACUUUAGAGCCUCUCCGUGUGUAUAUAUAUAUAUAUAUAUAUAUAUACAACACUGAUCAGGUCCGGACUCCCGGACCUGAUCAAAAACGGACCUAAUUUUUAUUUUUUUUGCUUUUUUUUUUAAAAUAACUAAAAAAAAAUAUUUNNNNNNNNNNNNNNNNNNNNNNNNNNNNNNNNNNNNNNNNNNNNNNNNNNNNNNNNNNNNNNNNNNNNNNNNNNNNNNNNNNNNNNNNNNNNNNNNNNNNAUAUAUAUAUAUAUAUAUAUAUAUAUAUAUAUAUAUAUAUACAUGCCGGAUCAGGUCCGGACUCUCGGACCUAACCAAAAUCCGGACCUUUUUUUUUGUUUUUUUUAAAACACCUAAAAAAUAAAUAAAUUAUGGAACUUGAAUUUUUACAUAAUACAGUAUUUUAGGUGUGUUUUGGAUAUAUAUAACAAAACAUGCCCAAUUUUUUUAGGUGUUUUAAAAAAAAAGCAAAAAAAAAAAAAGGACCGAAUUUUAAACCUGUCCGGGAGACCGGACAGGAUCCGGUUCCUAUAUAUAUAUAUAUAUAUAUAUAUAUAACUCUUGUAUGUAGGGGUGUAAACGGUAUUAAACAGAUACAGAUACAGGUAUAUCCGUAUCCGUAUCCAGAAAACCAAUUCGCUAUCCGUAUCCGUAUCCGGUAUCUUGCAGAUUUUAAAAAUAUUAUCCGUAUCCGGUAUUCGAAAAAAUAUUCGAAUACGGAUAAUAUUCGUUACCGUUUAUUUUAUCCGAAUAGACAAAUUAUUCGGAUAUCCGAAUAUCCGAAUUCGUUUAUCAGUAACCUAAUAUAAAAUUCAUUCAAAAUAUUUACGAAAAAAAAAAUUAAAGUUUAAAUCAUACAUAUUAAUUAAACACAAUUUAAUAUUUAAACCAUACAUAUUAAUUAAACAUCCUAAUCAUAAGGGGAGGAAAAUGUCAAAGACAUCAUCAUAAAUGAAUGCUAGUGAUUAAUUAAUGAAUGUAAAUUAUUAAUACACACACACACACACAUACACACACACAUAUAUAUAUAUAUAUAUAAGUUAUUAACUAAUUAAUGUAAGUUAUUAAUAUAUUUAUAUAUAUAUAUAUUAAUAACUUAUAUAAAUGAAUGUAAAUUAUUAAUAUAUACGUGUAUAUAUAUAAAUAUAUAUUAAUAGCUUAUAUAAAUGAAUGUAAGUGAUUAAUUAAUGAAUGUAAGUUAUUAAAUAUGUGUGUGUGUAUAUUGUAUAUAUAUAUAUAUAUAUAAGUUAUUAAUUAAUUAAUGCAAAUUAUUAAUAUAUAUAUAUAUAAUAACUUAUAUAUAUAUAAAUGUAUAUGUAAGUUAUUAAUUAAUGAAUCUAAGUUAUGAUUUAUUAAUAUAUAUAUAUAUAUA